GCACUCUUAGUAUUUAUAUUUUAUAAGGUUUAAUUCAUUAUUAAAGUGAUAUUAAAAAUAAGACUAAAUUACUUAUAGUUUUCCAUCUGUUUUUUAAAAGUGCAUUGUGUAUUCUUUUUUAAUUUAUAUCUUCUAGUGAUAUUAAUAAAAUUAUUUGUUCAUUAUGUUGUUUUUGUUCCUGUAUUAUUCUAAUUGUCUAAUGCAGAAUAAUAAAAAAUGGAAACACGUUCAACGUUCACGAGAAAAAAAAGAUGAAGGAUAAAGAUAAAGAAAAAUAAUUGGUAACUGUUGAAAAACAUUGUUUUGGUUUAAUACAAAUAAAACAUCAAGCUAGAAGACUGACCAGUUAGAAAAUUUACAUUUGACUGGAACAUGCAAGAAGAUCUAUCAAUUUAUUACAACAAUGCAUUUGGAGAAAGACAACGUGUACAAUUUUUUGUAUGGGAUGAUUCAAGGCAAGCUUCAGUAUCAAGAUUUUGAAAAGGAAUGAAAAUAAAUGUUUCCAGAACGUAUCAGAAAAUGUUAAACUACAUGCAAUGUAAGUAUGUUAAUUUACUUUAGUAAUUGGCUUUUAAAAACUAAGGAAGACUGAAAAAGAAGAUAUGAGAGAAAAGGUUUAUAAGUUAAUGAAAAUCAUUUAAAAUCAUUAUCUCUUUGAAUUGUAUUCUAGAUAACUUAUAUCAAGUUAAGUCAAAAAGAUCUUAUUCAAAAAUGUCUUCAUCAAAUUUAAUCCAUUUGUAAUCACAGCCUGUAUAUUAGAAACAAAUGAUAUUCAUCAUUUGUCUAGUUGAUAUGUCCGUGUAAAAUAUAUUUGUAUAUUUAUAAAUAAUACUAAAGUAUUUCUUGACUUAAAAUAUUCUUCUAUAUAUAUAUAUAACGAAUUCUUUUCUAUAGUCACGCUAUUGUUUUAAUAAAGUCUUAGAACUAUUAAUAGUAAUUAAUUUAAGGCGCCGGUGCUGGCGGUAAAGUAUAAUCUCCGUCUGUUUUACAUUCCUCUUCCCAAUUGUCAGGUAUCAUAGGUUUUAAUAUUUGUAUAAAUUCGUUUAUAGGACAAAUCGUAGCACAUCCGGGUAUAGUCAUCGGAUAUGGUUCGUAAUUGGUCGUAUUUCUUAAGAAUAUCUAUUUUAAUAAAAACAUUUAUAAUUAUAUAACAUUAACAGUAAUAAAGUAUCAUCAUUCAAUGGUAUUUA
Molecule: long non-coding RNA, 1190 nt
Organism: Polistes canadensis
Lineage: Eukaryota; Metazoa; Arthropoda; Insecta; Hymenoptera; Vespidae
Exons: 2
Source: RefSeq, a predicted model, not a curated record